GCAACAAAGGCUCCCUGUUAACAGCACGAAUAAAUUGGCAGUUUUGGCUUCCAGCACUCGUUGCCAACACAACCUUGAGAUUGAGCCCUGGCCAAAUUGAGUUGUGGAUUAAUACCUUCCGGCAAAGAAUAACGACAUUCAACGGGCAGUGAGAACAAAGGAACUCCAGGGACAAAUAGUUAUGCGUAAAGUCGGCCGUCGCGUGCUGAGUUUUUUGUGUUGCACCGCAACCAUACUCCACCCAACAACCACUGGAUAGUGCAGAAGAAGAGGGUGAUAGGAUAGAUAGAAAUCAAGGAAACAAAAUAGGGCCAAAGCCUUGAAGCGUUGAAGCAUUUGUUAUUGGGACACAUUACCAGUUCCUGUUGAGCACCUCUGGUUGGCGUCUUAACCAUACAAAGUGUGCAUAUAGACU
Molecule: small RNA, 415 nt
Filed under: Histoplasma capsulatum
Lineage: Eukaryota; Fungi; Ascomycota; Eurotiomycetes; Onygenales; Ajellomycetaceae
Also listed under: 1 other name
Description: hypothetical RNA
Source: RNAcentral